UUUCAAUAACAGAAUUAAGGGCUUUUCAUUUAAAAGCUUAAAACAAGCAGAAAAUUACAGAAUUCUGAUUCUUCCAAAGAAUUCUUGGUAGCAAAUUGCUAUAUUUAGUUGGUAUUACAAAUGACCUCUUGGCAUGAAAGAAAUAACUACUGCAUGACCUUUUCUUUGUUGAAAGAAAAUUAUAGUUCCAAGUUCUGCAAGACCGCUAUAUCAUUCCAUGGAAGCCUGCUGAAUCCAGGAGUACUGCUCUAAUUUGCUCAGGAUGCACGUCCUGCCCUUUUUGCUCAGCUUGGAAGAUAUCCAUGGCAAAACCAUUGAAACAACUGAUGACAGCUUGCUCGAUAUCUAUGCCAAGGUUAUCCAAGGCCCUCAUGGUGGAGAGCAGGAGACCAGGUCUGCGGCCACAAAACAUGUGAAUGUUUACAGCUCUUCCUUCUCUCACUCUUACUUCAACCUAUAAAGAAAAACCAACACUGAAGCAUUGAAACAUUGUCUUAAUUCUUAUUCAAGCUAAAAUUGAGGAUCCAAAAGAAAAAAAUUAAUUGCUGCUACUAUACCAAAAAAGUUUCCUGAAUGGAAAAGCAAAGAAGUUGAACAGUUUUUUUUUUUUUCCUUUAUCCAUAAGAUGAGAGAUGGAGGGGGAAAAAGUGGAGUUUGAACUUUGAAGUGAAGUUCCAAGUCUCUGGUCAAUAGGACAAUCUAGAACUGUGAAUAUUGGGUGUGGAGAUGGAGAACAUAUUAGAAGAACAAACCAAAUGUCAUGGUUUUAGAAAACAGGACAAGCAAAAUUCAAGAGAGGCAAUAAUAAAAUCCCAGAAGCAUAAGAGAAAAAAUUACCCUUGCUGGUUGACCAUUUGGACUUGGCAAUGGGCUGGGGCAGAGUUUAUCCUUGAUACGACUGGACAGGGUUGAUGGAGUGGGUGUCAAAGGGUGAAAACUUGUAGGCGUCAAAGAAGAGCCAGGAGGAGUUGACUCCAAUUCAUUAUGGAGGUCGUUGAUCCUUUGCAGAAGUUCCUUCAAGUACUCAAUUGCAUCCCCAAGGAUUGAUGCCCUAUCCAUCUGUCACCACAAUAACAUUGCAAGUAUAACUCACAUUGUGUUAUUUAAUUUAGAGCUCCAUAUGUGUUUACUUAGUAGCUUUUCUCAAACAGCAGCACGAUAUUCAUAUUCCUUUUAUGAGCUAGGUUUUGAGAAGAGCAUAAAAUAAAUUAAUUACUACUAAGCCCUUGAUCCAUGGUUUGUUUUUGGCACUGUUCUGGUCUGACUACUGCUGAUAUUUUGAACCUAAAGUUGUUAAGAAGUCAGCAAGUUCUUUAACAAUGGACUUCUGAACAGUUUCUAUUAUAUCUGCACAACCUCACAAUACUCUCCUUUCCAAGCUGAAACUUGCCACAGAUUUUGACAAUAGGACACUAGUUUGAGUGAAAUCAGACUCUGGGAAAAUAGAUUUUUUGAUUUAAUUAGUUUCUUCAGUAACUUUCCUGAAUUUAUAUUAUUAGCAAAACAAAACAACAGAAGAAAUUUCCAAGAAAAAGAAAAUAAAACGAGACAGAAAUUUUAAUAAUUCAUAUUUAUCUUUUAUGAAUUGAUUAACUUUAUAAUUGAAAAAAAAAAAAAAACAAUAUGAUGCGUAACUUGAUCCUGGAACCUACCAGUCCCAGAUGAACAUUUGGGCAUGCUUUAUGAUCUAACUUGUAACAAUCAGGUUGUCCACUCUAUUUCUGAUGUGAUGAAACUCUGGAAAUUCAUAGACAGCAGGUGUAAUCUCCUAUUUUUUGGUGGGCUAGGAAGAGUUUUAGUUCUUCAAACCAACCUGCUUUUUUAAACUUACUCCUAUAUGUCAAAUAAACUAAAUAGAUAGUUGUGUCUAGCAGAAGGAUCGAAAUUGUCACAAAUCAGAAAUUUGUCACCUUAGGAUAAAUAAACUGAAAAUCUAAGGCACAAGUAUAGCCAUGACAAGCAAACAAAUCACAUAAUGUGGCAACAACAGUUGACAGGCAAUGAUAGAGAAGAACUGUUGAGAGGAAGAAAGAAAACCAGACAUAGGCAAUGAAAUUCAAAAUAAUAAGACUUGCCCAUUUUAUUUAUUUAUUUAUUUAAAAAAAGGAAGAAGAAAGAUAAAGAGACUGUUUAAUGCGACAACUUUAUGGAUGAGGAGAUACUAUAAUCUUUUAUUUCUGUGCCAUUGACACAACAAAUUAUAAGUUAUAUCUAAAACAGAAGUAAGAAACUCAUUAUUUGAAUUCACAAGAAAAUGGUGGAAAAGAAAUUCAUACCUUGCUUAUCUUUGGAACUACAGACCUUAGCAUGUAUAGCCUAUCAUUGAGCUUCUUCCGGCGCCUCCUUUCUGCCAUCAAAUUCUUAGCAGGAAGCCCCUUCUUCUUUCCCUUCUGAUCCCCAACACCACCGCCAGUGACACUGCUAUUUGCAUUUGAGCUAUUCCCUCCAUUUUUACCAAUCUCCUCCAUUUUAAUAUUCUCCGUUAACUCAUCAGAAUCAUAAUUCAAACCCGACCCAUCAAUGCUUACAUCCUCCACAAUGUCAUCCACGUUACCCAUUUUUCUCUUCUUCUCAUUCUCUUUGCCCAACUGAGUCAAUUCUCUCUUUCCUUUAUCAAUCUCAAUCCCACUCAAAUCCCCCAAAUUCUUCCUCAAAGCUGCUCUCUUUUGAAACAAAGUAGGCUGUGCACCCAUUGAAGGAAAGGUUUCAAGAGGCCUCAACAACUUGGACCUAUUCAAAAAUAGCGUAUUCCCUGAGCUCUCAUCAGAACCCCUAAAUCCUGUUAACCCUGGACCAUUUUCGGGCAAUUGGAGCAUGCAGGUAGUUGGAAAGGGAAGAUCGGAGCAUAAAUUAGAAGUGCUAAUUUGAUUAUUUGAGCUAAAAUCAAUGUAGCUGCCUAAGACCCCAGCUCCCCUGUUUAGCAAAGGCGAGGCGUUUGUUGUUGUUGUAGGAGCAGUUGCCUGGUUCUCAAGGAACCCAAUUUCGCCCAAAUCAAAGCCAUGCUCUAAAGGGUUGUUAGAGACAACGUUAAGGAGCGAAGAUAAGGUAGGCUUCGAGUGCAUAAAGUAGUGCACGUGAGAAGGGUCUAGAUUAUUGAAAACAGAGGAGGUUGGUGAGCAAGAAGAGGAGGAAUCCACAGAGUGAAGAAAGAGAUUAUCUGGCUCAGCAAGAUUUGGUGAAAAUGUGAUGUCUCUGAUAGUAUCAUGAUGAUUAUGGAUAGUAGUAUUAGUGACGUACCAGUCGUCUUCUACAUCGAGCAUGGAUUUGAAGUUAGAAAUCGAACCCAUCUCUUGCUUGCUCUCCAUCACAACACAGCUAUUGUUAAUGUUGUUGUUUGUGUUGGAGUCUCGUGCUUCUUUAUCUUCCAUCCAGACAGUGCCAUUUAGUCCAGAUAGCAUUUUCGUUCUGGAUUUCUGUUAUAUUUUCUCUGGAAAGUGAGGGAAGCAAAGCAAAAUUGUUGAGAAAAGGGUGAGAUAAAGAGAAGAACGGAGAGAGAGAGAGAGAGAGA
This 3508-nucleotide unclassified non-coding RNA is filed under the name Hevea brasiliensis (rubber tree). Lineage: Eukaryota; Viridiplantae; Streptophyta; Magnoliopsida; Malpighiales; Euphorbiaceae. The record is from RNAcentral.